Molecule: microRNA precursor, 48 nt
Filed under: Candidatus Regiella insecticola 5.15
Lineage: Bacteria; Pseudomonadati; Pseudomonadota; Gammaproteobacteria; Enterobacterales; Enterobacteriaceae
Description: MIR845
Source: RNAcentral
AUUUUUCAACAUGAUGAAAUUUACGAACGUUUCAUCAUGUUGAAAAAU